UGAGCAAUCUGCCCUUCUCAUCGGAAUAAGCGUGGGAAACCGCGUCUAAUGCCGAAUACGACCUCCUUUCGCAUGAUCGGAGGUGGAAAGCUCCGGCGGAGAAGGAUGAGCUCGCGGCCUAUCAGCUAGUUGGUGUGGGUAACGGCCCACCAAGGCGACGAGGGUAGCCGGCCUGAGAGGGUGACCGGCCACACUGGGACUGAGACACGGCCCAGACUCCUACGGAAGGNAG
RNAcentral lists this ribosomal RNA (232 nucleotides) under uncultured bacterium. Its description in RNAcentral is "partial 16S ribosomal RNA". It matches the Rfam family "Bacterial small subunit ribosomal RNA", at positions 118 to 351 of the family's 1533-position model. The record is from RNAcentral.